UAAUGGCAGGUCAGCAUACUGCCGUGAAUACGUUCCCGGGCCUUGUACACACCGCCCGUCACACCAUGAGAGUUGGGAAUACCCGAAGCCUGUGAGCUAACGUAAGAGGCAGCAGUCGAAGGUAGAAUCAAUGAUUGGGGUGAAGUCGUAACAAGGUAUC
RNAcentral lists this ribosomal RNA (160 nucleotides) under uncultured bacterium. RNAcentral describes it as "partial 16S ribosomal RNA". It matches the Rfam family "Bacterial small subunit ribosomal RNA", at positions 1339 to 1500 of the family's 1533-position model. The record is from RNAcentral.